RNAcentral lists this ribosomal RNA (493 nucleotides) under uncultured bacterium. Its description in RNAcentral is "partial 16S ribosomal RNA". It matches the Rfam family "Bacterial small subunit ribosomal RNA", at positions 29 to 507 of the family's 1533-position model. The record is from RNAcentral.
ACGAACGCUGGCGGCGUGCUUCACACCUGCAAGUCGAACGGUGAAGCGCCUUCCUUUUUGGUGGGUGUGGAUGAGUGGCGAACGGGUGAGUAACACGUGAGUAACCUGCCCCCUUCUUCUGGAUAACCGCAUGAAAGUGUGGCUAAUACGGGAUAUUCUGGGUCUGUCGCAUGAUGGGUCUGGGAAAGAUAUUGUUUCGGUGGGGGAUGGGCUCGCGGCCUAUCAGCUUGUUGGUGGGGUGAUGGCCUACCAAGGCGGUGACGGGUAGCCGGCCUGAGAGGGUGGACGGUCACACUGGGACUGAGACACGGCCCAGACUCCUACGGGAGGCAGCAGUGGGGAAUAUUGCACAAUGGGCGCAAGCCUGAUGCAGCGACGCCGCGGGAGGGAUGGAGGCCUUCGGGUUGUGGACCUCUUUCGCCAGUGAAGCAGGCCUGCCUCGUUUGUGGGUGGGUUGACGGUAGCUGGAUAAGAAGCGCCGGCUAACUACGUG